UAUGAUUCAAAUAUACUUCCCCAAACCCCCAUCCAUGCAAAGAUAAAACAGUCCUUUUUAUUUCUGUCACAUUUAUAAUAAUUGCAUAAAUUUUUUUUAAAUAUUCACGAUUUAAUUUACGUGCAUCUUAGAGUCUCUUUCCCUCCCUCUCUUAUUCAAUCACUGCUACAAUUUUUUUUCCCUGUAUAUUCAUAUUCAAGACUCAGCAAAAGGGAGUUUGGUAAA
RNAcentral lists this unclassified non-coding RNA (225 nucleotides) under Hevea brasiliensis (rubber tree). Lineage: Eukaryota; Viridiplantae; Streptophyta; Magnoliopsida; Malpighiales; Euphorbiaceae. The record is from RNAcentral.